This 305-nucleotide ribosomal RNA is filed under the name uncultured bacterium. Its description in RNAcentral is "bacterial SSU rRNA". It matches the Rfam family "Bacterial small subunit ribosomal RNA", at positions 337 to 659 of the family's 1533-position model. The record is from RNAcentral.
UCCUACGGGGGGCAGCAGUGGGGAAUAUUGCACAAUGGGGGAAACCCUGAUGCAGCGACGCCGCGUGAAGGAUGAAGUAUUUCGGUAUGUAAACUUCUAUCAGCAGGGAAGAAAAUGACGGUACCUGACUAAGAAGCCCCGGCUAACUACGUGCCAGCAGCCGCGGUAAUACGUAGGGGGCAAGCGUUAUCCGGAUUUACUGGGUGUAAAGGGAGCGUAGACGGCGUGCCAAGUCUGAUGUGAAAGGCCGGGGCUCAACCCCGGGACUGCUCUGGAAACUGUGCGGCUAGAGUACUGGAGGGGCG